UUGCUUUGGCAGUACAUAUACUAAAAUUAGAACAAUACAGAGAAAAUUAGCAUGGCCCCUGUGCAAGGAUGAUAAUGCAGAUUUGUGAAGCAUUUCAUAUUUUU
This is a small nuclear RNA of Sarcophilus harrisii (Tasmanian devil), 104 nucleotides long. The record is from Ensembl. NCBI's taxonomy places the organism in Eukaryota, Metazoa, Chordata, Mammalia, Dasyuromorphia, Dasyuridae.